AAUAGAUACCCCGGUAGUCCACGCCGUAAACGAUGAGUGCUAAGUGUUAGGGGGUUUCCGCCCCUUAGUGCUGCAGCUAACGCAUUAAGCACUCCGCCUGGGGAGUACGGUCGCAAGACUGAAACUCAAAGGAAUUGACGGGGGCCCGCACAAGCGGUGGAGCAUGUGAUUUAAUUCGAAGCAACGCGAAGAACCUUACCAGGUCUUGACAUCCCAUUGGCCACUAUGGAGACAUAGUUUUCCCUUCGGGGACAACGGUGACAGGUGGUGCAUGGUUGUCGUCAGCUCGUGUCGUGAGAUGCUGGGUUAAGUCCCGCAACGAGCGCAACCCUUGUUCUUAGUUGCCAUCAUUUAGUUGGGCACUCUAAGGAGACUGCCGGUGACAAACCGGAGGAAGGUGGGGAUGACGUCAAAUCAUCAUGCCCCUUAUGACCUGGGCUACACACGUGCUACAAUGGACGGUACAAACGGUUGCCAACCCGCGAGGGGGAGCUAAUCCGAUAAAACCGUUCUCAGUUCGGAUUGUAGGCUGCAACUCGCCUAC
Molecule: ribosomal RNA, 544 nt
Filed under: uncultured bacterium
Lineage: Bacteria
Description: bacterial SSU rRNA
Rfam family: Bacterial small subunit ribosomal RNA
Source: RNAcentral